CGGCGGCCAUAGCGUGAGGGAAACGCCCGGUCACAUUCCGAACCCGGAAGCUAAGCCUCACAGCGCCGAUGGUACUGCAGGGGGGACCCUGUGGGAGAGUAGGACACCGCCG
RNAcentral lists this ribosomal RNA (112 nucleotides) under Microbacterium profundi. Lineage: Bacteria; Bacillati; Actinomycetota; Actinomycetes; Micrococcales; Microbacteriaceae. RNAcentral also lists the same sequence under 1 other name. The record is from RNAcentral.